GAUCAUGGCCAGGAUGAACGCUGGCGGCGUGCCUAACACAUGCAAGUCGAGCGAUCUCUUCGGAGAGAGCGGCGGACGGGUGAGUAACGCGUGGGUAACCUGCCCUGUACACACGGAUAACGUACCGAAAGGUAUGCUAAUACGGGAUAAUAUAUAAGAGUCGCAUGACUUUUAUAUCAAAGAUUUUUCGGUACAGGAUGGACCCGCGUCUGAUUAGCUUGUUGGCGGGGUAACGGCCCACCAAGGCGACG
Molecule: ribosomal RNA, 251 nt
Filed under: uncultured bacterium
Lineage: Bacteria
Description: partial 16S ribosomal RNA
Rfam family: Bacterial small subunit ribosomal RNA
Source: RNAcentral